Cucumis melo (muskmelon) is the source of this 1865-nucleotide long non-coding RNA. RefSeq lists it as uncharacterized. The transcript is spliced from 2 exons. The record is from RefSeq and is a predicted model, not a curated record. Lineage: Eukaryota; Viridiplantae; Streptophyta; Magnoliopsida; Cucurbitales; Cucurbitaceae.
GCUUCAGUCUCAGACCAAGCUUGCUUCCACUGCGAGGAUGGAGUAGGGUUUUUUAGUCGAAGCAGUCGAUUUAAACCAAUUCAAGAUUAAGCAUAUGAGAAUGGAGCUAGUCAUAGAGGCCGAAAUUUAGUCUUCGGCGGUGUUCACGUGGGGGCCUAUCCUUUCAAUGUUUGUGCCUCUAAAAACUUCCGCUAUAUAUAUUCUUAUACCCAAUUAUAUGAGGUUUGAUCUGAGCUUGAGUUUUGUAUUGAUAUGGGAAUUAUUGGCGAUGAUUAUAUGUUUAUCCGCGCUUCCGAGGUUAAACAAUGAAGCUAGACUAAAUGAAAGGUUGAAUUUCUUAGUAUGAGCCAGUUUUCUUCUAUCAUGUUUUGUUAAAUUUUGGAUCUUUUCUUGUGUUUUCCAAUCAUGGCCGUGACGAUGGAACUUCAGCUUAUAAUGCCAGUUCUGCUUCAGAACUUGAUGAUUGAUAAAGCUGUUUCAGUAAUCUGAGCCUUUGAUAUCUACUAAUUCAACCUAGAUGUUUGUGCAUUUUUCCAGUAAUUAUAUUCUCAUAUAGUUGUUUUCCUAUCAAGGUUUCCAUGUCUAGUCUAUACACUAUAUUAUUACGAUGUGUUUGAGGCAGGUUAAACAUAAAUUGUGUAUUUUAGUGUAAGGAUAAAUUUAUUAUUGGUUGAGACCCUUGAUGAUUCUGACCAACUUUCUGAGAUGUUGCGAAGCCAAGACCCUGCUUCAGGGAGAACCUACUUGGUGGAAUGGCAUUUAUAUGAGUUACGUGGAUUAGACUGAGGUUUCCUGUAGAACAAUUAAAUCAUUUUUUAAGUGUAAGAAUAAAUUUAUAAUUUGGUGGAGACCCGUGAUGAUUCUGUCCAACUCGCUGAGAUGUUGUGAAGCCAAGACCCUGCUUCAGGGAGAACCUACUUGGUGGAAUAAUAUUUAUAUGAGUUAAGUGGAUUUGACUGAGGUUUCAGAUAGGACAAAAAAAUGUUUUUAAGAGUAAGAAAUAAAUUUAUAAUUUAGUAGAGGUCUGUGGUGAUUCUGUCCUUCAUGAGAUGUUGUGAGUUAUAUGGAUUUGACUGGUUUCGUUUUUGUCUGUUUUUAAUUUAAAUUCACAAACCCGUGUUCUUCGCAUAUUCACAUCUUUUGAGUUUAACUAUACUCAUCCCUUUUUCAAUAUGGGUAUGUAGUCUGAAAAACUCGAAUAUUUUGUGUUGUCAUCAGCUUCUUCUCGCCUGACUUAGGAGACUGGAGUUAAAUAACAGCACCAAAUUUUCUAAUAUAUUUGGAAAAUUUAUAUUGUUUUUUUUAUUGCUUUUACAAUCACUUUGUAUUGCUCAAAGGCUUCUUUCACUAAAUUGUACGUUGUUGAUUGAUAGUUAUGUGUGAUGACAAUAUCUAGCAAGCUGAAGAAUGACCGCGUGAGAAGUUGUACUGUCUGAAGUUUCAGAUGGAGGUUUGUAGAUGUACUUUGUAGAUGUACAUGGUGUACUUGUUGGUUUUACUCUCAGCUGAUGAGUACGACGAAGGCAUGAAGAUAUUUUGGAGGUCUCGAUUUCUUAGUGUGCCUCCUUUCUUCUGCUCUGAAUCUCCCUCUCGUCAUUGUUAUUUGAUUUAUUGUUUUAGAUAUAUUUGCAUAGUUUUAUUAUUUGUUGUAUUUUUAAAAAGGUUGAUUUAUGAGUUUUCUUUGAUUUCUGAAUCUGAAUUACAGAUCUUUAUUCUAUUUGCGUAUGUAGGAGAUAAUUUGAACCUACCAGCAACCUUAAGACUAAGAAUGAGCUUGUUUAUUUGGAUUGUAAACCUGGUCCUGAUUUAUAUGAUCCGUAUAUUGUGUAGCAAGCAAUUCAAAUAAAACAGCAUAUUGAAUUGAA